Molecule: ribosomal RNA, 253 nt
Filed under: uncultured bacterium
Lineage: Bacteria
Description: partial 16S ribosomal RNA
Rfam family: Bacterial small subunit ribosomal RNA
Source: RNAcentral
UACAGAGGGCCCAAGCGUUGUUCGGAUUCACUGGGCGUAAAGGGUGCGUAGGCGGUCGGGUAAGUCUGAUGUGAAAUCUCACAGCUUAACUGUGAAACUGCAUUGGAUACUAUCCGGCUUGAGGAAUGGAGGGGAGACUGGAAUACUUGGUGUAGCAGUGAAAUGCGUAGAUAUCAAGUGGAACACCAGUGGCGAAGGCGAGUCUCUGGACAUUUCCUGACGCUGAGGCACGAAAGCCAGGGGAGCAAACGGG